Molecule: long non-coding RNA, 396 nt
Organism: Polistes canadensis
Lineage: Eukaryota; Metazoa; Arthropoda; Insecta; Hymenoptera; Vespidae
Exons: 2
Source: RefSeq, a predicted model, not a curated record
UAUAGACAUAUAUACAGAGUCAGUCAUGGAACGUGACGUUUUAAAAUAACUAAUUAAAUAUGCAUUGUAUGAAAAAAUGUAUAUUUUUGUGCAUUUUUAUUUAAACUUUGUUUGGUUCGUAUAACAAAAUGAAAAUAAAACGUUUUAUUUGGGUUAGUUCGAUUAAAAUCUAAUUAAAUUGCCACUCGAGGAAACACUUGCUCGCACAUAAUGGAUUUAUAUUUAAUGCUAUUCGUAUACGCUGAUGGACUCUAUAUAAAUGACCAAGAAUAAAUAUUUAUAGCCCAAUAAAAAAAUAGACACCUUAUGAUAGCAUGUAGAUAAUUGCAUAUUUAAAAGGUGCAAAUGUGUGUUGGAAAUAAAAGUGGGAAUGUUAAAUCCUUCAGCUCAGUUGAA